This is a small nucleolar RNA of Salvia hispanica, 72 nucleotides long. RefSeq annotates it as small nucleolar RNA R66. NCBI's taxonomy places the organism in Eukaryota, Viridiplantae, Streptophyta, Magnoliopsida, Lamiales, Lamiaceae. The record is from RefSeq and is a predicted model, not a curated record.
UCCAAUGAUGGCAUGUAUCUUUGAGACCUGAUUGUCAAUUUGAUGACAACUAUAAGCAUUUUCGCUGAGGAU